RNAcentral lists this long non-coding RNA (214 nucleotides) under Elaeis guineensis (African oil palm). RNAcentral describes it as "long non-coding RNA (EGUI_LNC009289)". The record is from RNAcentral. Lineage: Eukaryota; Viridiplantae; Streptophyta; Magnoliopsida; Arecales; Arecaceae.
UCUUCUUCAUCUUCUUCUUUAGAACAGAGCACCCCUCCCUCCUUUCCCUCUUCUCCUCACCAUGCCAGUGGGAACUCGGGCCAGUAGCCAUCAGCGGUGCUCGAUGCUGAAGAAAAGAUGACUCAAUAGUGGCCAUAACUAUCGGUGUACGAUCAACAAAACGAAAGAAAGAAACAAAUAAAAAAAAAACUCAUAACAGAGGAGGCCUUGUUCU